RNAcentral lists this long non-coding RNA (2498 nucleotides) under Malus domestica (apple). RNAcentral's name for it is "long non-coding RNA (MDOM_LNC017053)". The record is from RNAcentral. Lineage: Eukaryota; Viridiplantae; Streptophyta; Magnoliopsida; Rosales; Rosaceae.
AAUUGUUAAUUGCAUGCUAUAGAUGUUAUUCAAAUGAACAUGUUUUCACAAAAUCAUCCUUCACUAUAUAGUCAUAUUAGGUCUUAGGAUGAUUAUGAACCGUUUGAUUUGAUCCAACACGAGCCUUGUGUUGGACCUUGGGUUUAAGGUAGAUAGUUGUUGAUUUUAAUUACGCGUUUAAUCUAAUUAAACCGUUUUUUCCUAUUGGGCGUUGGACCCAACUAUUCCAAUUUGCAUACAUAUAAACAAAAAGGAAUACAUGAAAUAAAGAGAAGGGCUUAUGCCCUUUUACAACAAAUUAGAAGGACUUGUGUCCUUUUACAACAAAUUUGAACUAAUCAAAUUACAUUCAAAUCUAAACUACUUAACCCAAACAUUCAUAAUGUAAAGCGGCCAAUCACAUAGCUCAAUUAUCGAGGCCUUUGGUUCAUAAUCACCAUUUUCUUAAUCAAUCAAAUUAACUAAGAAAGCAACUUAAACAAUUGGUUUUCGGAUUCAUAGAAUUGAUUUAAAUGGAACUAAAUGAAAUGAAAAUCCAAUUCUCAUUAAAGAGACAAAACCAUUUUGUUCUCAUCUUAUUUGGGCCGAAAAACAAUGACCUCAACUAUUAGGCCAUAAGGUUAAAACAUAAACUUUUGGGGUCACUUUGUAAAAACACAAGAGUCCACAACUUCAUGUAAUUACAACUAGAACCCAAAAUUUUCAACAAUAGCAAAAACUUCAUUAAAGGAGCAAAACAAUUUGUCCUUUAGUGUUUUUGGGCCUUAACGUAAAAACGUAAACUUUUGGACCAAAGUACAAAUACACAAAAGUAUCAAAACUUUAUGUAAUUGCAUAAAAGGCCCCAAAAGUACCCCCACUAAGGGGUGGCCGGUUUUGGUAGUGAAAAAAGAGGGGGGGGAAGGUUUUGGUGAAAAAUUCAAAAUUUGAAAAAGUUUUGUGCAAGUGGAUAGGUAGGUGAGGAAAAGGUGAUUGGUAUAGGUUGUAAGAAAAUGUUUUGUCUAACAUUAAAGACAUAAAUCAUCCAUCACCAAUCAUCCAUCACCAAUUAAUUAUAAACCAAAACUUUAUGAAAAACACCAAACAUUUUGAAUCAAAACUCCAAACCUUUUUGUUCUUGGUAAGAAACUCAAGAACAUUGAAGAACACACAUGAAAAUUCAUAAGAGCUCCAUGAAUGUUUCACACAAUAAAACUCAAAUUUUCACUACACAAAAGAGGGUUAACAUCCUAGGGUACUUAGGGGGUUCCAAAAGUCACUUUAAAACCUUUUAACAAGACAAACAUGAACCCAAAAAUCCACCCUUUGGAUUUGGCCGAAUUUCCCAACAUACAUGGCACCAAAUUUUAGUUCCAAUAUUCAUGCUUAAAUGAACUACAUCUACAACAUUUGAGAUGCUAAAUUUUCAAGCAAAAUUUAUAUUCAAAAGCAAGAACAAAGCUUGUAACAUUUACAACAUUUAAAUCACAAACCAUGAAAAACACAAAACCCAAAAGGAUUCACCAUAAACUAGACCUAGGCACUUGAUACCACUUGAAGGAAAAAUUUUGGCCUAGCUAAGAACAUGUGAGAAUAUUUGAACACAUAUGCAAACUAUUAACACAUUAAAGUAGGCAUGCAUUCAAAACAAUUCUAAAACCCAUGACUUUCAAAGCCUAGUGAAUGGUGAACCAUGAGACUUGAUAGGAGCAUAUUUAUGCGACUUAGUUAGCUUGUUCUUGUGCAUUUGUAUUGUUAUUUCUUAGUUAAUUAUGUAUUUUAAGCUAUUUUCGUGUGUUUGUAGGUCAUAAUAACAAAGUUGGCAAGAAAGUGCAUUUUGGAGCAUUUUUGAGCAUUUUUGAGCCAAUAUUGGAUAGUGCAAGCAUGGAGACAUGAGGAUGGACAUUUUUGAAGAUUUGAAGGCUAGAAAUCAGCAUGUGUGUGUGCAAGUGUGUUGACCUACAACUCCAAACAUCCCUCCACUACACCCAUUACAUCCACUCAUUACCAAACACGCAUCCACUACACCCAUUACAUCCACUCAUUACCAUCCACUCAUUACCAAACAUCCACCCACUACACCCAUUACAUCCACUCAUUACCACAACACUCACCCACUACACCCAUCACAUCCACUCAUUACCACAACAGUCACCCACUACACCCAUUACAUCCACUCAUUACAACUCCAUACACUCCUCUCCCUAGCCUAUAAAUACAUCCACCCUUCACCAUAAUUUGGGGGCUAUCAUCCAAAGACACCACAUCAUCUACACAACUCUCCACCCUUCACCAUAACUCACCUAUAUCCAUCCACCACCACAAGAGAUCAUCCAUUCACCACUCACACCUUGGUGCCGCAUAUUUGCAAGGAAGGAUGAUUGCUUGGAGUUGUGCUAGUCAUUCAAUUUGGAUUGCUGGAGCAUUCUAGGUGUAUUCUACUUUGGUUUUCAAUGUCUAAUUUCAAUUGUUUCUGUUUAAUUGCAAGUAUGAGGAACUAAACCUCUUUUGGCUAGAGG